RNAcentral lists this ribosomal RNA (486 nucleotides) under Triticum aestivum (bread wheat). RNAcentral describes it as "partial small subunit ribosomal RNA". The record is from RNAcentral. Lineage: Eukaryota; Viridiplantae; Streptophyta; Magnoliopsida; Poales; Poaceae.
AUGCAAUACCCUAGCUUGUAUAGGAUCGUCAGACAUAAAUUAGUCACGAUCAAACAAGUAUUGGGACAAGAAAACCCUGAUAUUUCUUUCCGUAGGGACCUUAUUGGGCCUCGUCUGGUAGCAUGGGAUGAAUUACUCAAUCGUCUGGAGGCCAUUCAGCUGCUAGGCGAACCAGACAAGUUCCGAUGGAAUUUGCAUCAGAAUGGUACCUUUUCAGUCAAAUCCUUGUAUGAUGCAAUGACCCACACUGAUGUACCGGUUGAUAACAAGAAAUUGUGGAAGCUCAAAAUUCCCUUAAGAGUGAAGAUAUUCCUCUGGUUUCUAAACAGAGGGGUCAUCUUAACUAGAGAUAACUUGGCACGACGCAACAGGCAAGUUAGCAAGACAUGUGUCUUUUGUCAACAUGACGAGUCCACCAAACACUUAUUUUUUGAGUGUUAUCCAUGCAUGUACGCGAUGGCUCCGUACGUGGUCUAUCCUGUAUAG